GGGAAGGUGGUGCGGGGGAGACUGUUCGUGUGGGCCUAGUGGCUACUGUACUAAGGUUUUGGACCUCAUGUAAAGGGAGACGCAGCUCCUGUACACUUAACGUAGCGUCUGCAAUUUUCACUCAUUCUACGUCAUGGCCAGGGAGCAGCCCGUUAGACAAACACCCCAUCAUUUGUUUAUCGGGUCUCCUGCUGGUGGACUUCUGGGGUGUUUCCAGUCUGGGGCUACGAUGGCUACGUGGCUGUGAACUUCCCGAGCAUGUUGUUGGGGGGCACUCACCCAACAUUGUGGCAGUGAAACAAAGAGGCCAUUAGACGGGGACGGCUCUAAGCCCUGGCGGCCUCAGUGAGCAAGCCAGAGCCCAAGCCGGACACUGUGUGCUGGGUUUGGAGGACACGAGACCCAAGAUGUGACCUGUCGAUGACAAACAGCCAGAGGCUCCCCCAAACAAGGCAGCUGCCCAAGCUAAGCUCCAGCGAUCACAGCAGGUCCCUGCUCUGCCUCUGCACCGUCUCCAGGAAGCUCUCCUGGGUUGGAGCGCCCCUAACCACUUCUGUUUUGGCGCGGCCAGAUUCGAAUUGCUGGACGCUCAAGUAAACCCUUCACAAUUGUUAUGUGCCUCAGUUUACCACCUAGCACCAACUUCACUGAGCUACUGUUUACACACAGUAUUUUAAGGGAACA
Canis lupus familiaris (dog) is the source of this 684-nucleotide long non-coding RNA. RefSeq lists it as uncharacterized. The transcript is spliced from 3 exons. Lineage: Eukaryota; Metazoa; Chordata; Mammalia; Carnivora; Canidae. The record is from RefSeq and is a predicted model, not a curated record.